RNAcentral lists this long non-coding RNA (1485 nucleotides) under Dasypus novemcinctus (nine-banded armadillo). Its description in RNAcentral is "lncRNA (ENSDNOG00000051071.1)". Lineage: Eukaryota; Metazoa; Chordata; Mammalia; Cingulata; Dasypodidae. The record is from RNAcentral.
CCCUGGAGUGUGGGGGGCAGUCAGCAAAACCUGGUGGCUCGAUGAAGAAAUGACCUAGCUUGCUUUCCUGCAGGAGCAGAUGAAGGUCUCCGCGAGGGUGUGAUUCGUGGCAGUGAACAGAUGGCGGAAUCACAACAGAGCCCGAUCGCCGGCGAGCUUUGCUGCUUCCAAACUGGGCUGCCCGCCGCAAUGGCCCGGAUGUUCUCUUUUGUUUGUCUGCCGUGGGGUCCUGGAAUGCGUAUGUGUAGCAGCUGCUUAGAUACAUCUUGGAGGUAUGGACCCUUCCCAAAUUCCAGACUGCUCCACAGAUUACCCAUCGUUGCCCGGAGUGUUCUAGAGUCUCCAGGGGGCUACCUUGCUCUCUCGGAAAUAGGAACCAACCUCAGUCAAAGCCAAGAUGGUGUCAUCUACCCUCUUGAGAUCUACAGAGAUACCCUGAGACCCACUUCCUCAUCAGACUCCCAGCCCUGCUCCCACCAGACCCCUAGUUCCCCAGAGGACUGGCCCGCUGGGAAGACAGUCCCUCCCCACUGGCUCGCUUGGUUGUCUCUGAGCUCUUUGGUAAAGGCCUGGGCAGUCAGGGCACCUGGCUCCUGGUUUGGCCCACAACUGACCUGCCAUGUGCCCUCAGGCAGGUGACUAAAUCCCUGUCCUGGGGGAAGUUCAACAUUGACCACAGGGGCCCGGACCCACCCAAAGAAAUGAUAGACGUGAGUGAGCUUGGCAAAGUCAAGUGCUACAGCAAAGAACGCUUUGGUGUAGACAUUCAAGCAGGUGCUAAUUCCCUCUCACAGUUUGACUUCUACUGAUUGCUUUCCUGUCCCAUGAAAGAGAAUUAGCAAUUAAACCAUGUGUGGAGCUUCUGCCAUGUUCUAGGUACUUGACGAACAGUAUCCCCAAGUCCCUUUUACAGGUGAGGACACCAAGGCUCAGAGAUGAGGCAGAAGAGACACUUCAUUCCACAAACACGUAUAAAGUGCCUGCUCACUGCGGGCAUUUUGUUAUACUCGACUCUGGGGCUUUGGGCCACCCCCACCCUUCCCUGCACAGAGCUCCCAGCCUGGAGGAAUCCCAAAAGAAUGACGCUCCAACCCAUGACUGUCGGGAUCCAAAGCAAAAUAUUUUCCCACCGUGUUGCUCAUUGAACACAUGUUUUUCCUGAGUCCAGGCGGGGGCCCGAAAGUGCUGCUUCCUGAUCUCACCGAGGACAUGCUGGAGUCCCUUGUCUGUGACCUGCCCCCCUGGAAUGCAUGGGACGCACCCCGGAAGCUCUGGUUCUCCCCUCUCAAGUGCAGUCUCACUGCCUGCAGGUCUUCCCUCCCAGGCUUUCACCCCCUGCCGACCUGAUGCUGGGUGGCAUGUGCUUCCGGCACUCUAGAAGCUUCUGUGGUUCCCCAGGGCCUGUUGAAUUCAGUCGGACUCCUCAGCCCGGAGUCCCAGCGCUCCUCCCCCUGACCCCCCAGCCUUCCCCAGCUUUCCCCUUCC